RNAcentral lists this ribosomal RNA (1159 nucleotides) under Microbacterium aerolatum. Its description in RNAcentral is "bacterial SSU rRNA". It matches the Rfam family "Bacterial small subunit ribosomal RNA", at positions 271 to 1428 of the family's 1533-position model. The record is from RNAcentral. Lineage: Bacteria; Bacillati; Actinomycetota; Actinomycetes; Micrococcales; Microbacteriaceae.
AGGCGACGACGGGUAGCCGGCCUGAGAGGGUGACCGGCCACACUGGGACUGAGACACGGCCCAGACUCCUACGGGAGGCAGCAGUGGGGAAUAUUGCACAAUGGGCGAAAGCCUGAUGCAGCGACGCCGCGUGAGGGAUGACGGCCUUCGGGUUGUAAACCUCUUUCAGUAGGGAACAAGGCCAGCUUUUUGGUUGGUUGAGGGUACUUGCAGAAGAAGCGCCGGCUAACUACGUGCCAGCAGCCGCGGUAAUACGUAGGGCGCAAGCGUUAUCCGGAAUUAUUGGGCGUAAAGAGCUCGUAGGCGGUUUGUCGCGUCUGCCGUGAAAGUCCGGGGCUCAACUCCGGGUCUGCGGUGGGUACGGGCAGACUAGAGUGCGGUAGGGGAGAUUGGAAUUCCUGGUGUAGCGGUGGAAUGCGCAGAUAUCAGGAGGAACACCGAUGGCGAAGGCAGAUCUCUGGGCCGUAACUGACGCUGAGGAGCGAAAGGGUGGGGAGCAAACAGGCUUAGAUACCCUGGUAGUCCACCCCGUAAACGUUGGGAACUAGUUGUGGGGUCCAUUCCACGGAUUCCGUGACGCAGCUAACGCAUUAAGUUCCCCGCCUGGGGAGUACGGCCGCAAGGCUAAAACUCAAAGGAAUUGACGGGGACCCGCACAAGCGGCGGAGCAUGCGGAUUAAUUCGAUGCAACGCGAAGAACCUUACCAAGGCUUGACAUAUACGAGAACGGGCCAGAAAUGGUCAACUCUUUGGACACUCGUAAACAGGUGGUGCAUGGUUGUCGUCAGCUCGUGUCGUGAGAUGUUGGGUUAAGUCCCGCAACGAGCGCAACCCUCGUUCUAUGUUGCCAGCACGUAAUGGUGGGAACUCAUGGGAUACUGCCGGGGUCAACUCGGAGGAAGGUGGGGAUGACGUCAAAUCAUCAUGCCCCUUAUGUCUUGGGCUUCACGCAUGCUACAAUGGCCGGUACAAUGGGCUGCAAUACCGUGAGGUGGAGCGAAUCCCAAAAAGCCGGUCCCAGUUCGGAUUGAGGUCUGCAACUCGACCUCAUGAAGUCGGAGUCGCUAGUAAUCGCAGAUCAGCAACGCUGCGGUGAAUACGUUCCCGGGACUUGUACACACCGCCCGUCAAGUCAUGAAAGUCGGUAACACCUGAAGCC